GAAGGGCUCCUGAAGCGCGGCCAGAGUGGGCUGAGGCCGAGGAGGCGCCGAGAGCCAGCGAGGGGAUGCCAGCAAGCUGUCACCUCUCAGAAAUACAGGAAGAACAUCAAUAAUGUUCGAAGUUAUAAAUUGCGGAGGCCAGAAGUCAGAAAACAAGGUGUCUGCAGGACCAACCUCUCCUCUGGAUGCUCUAGUGUGGACUCUCAAGACAAUAUACAGCAGUGCUUCUCAAAGUUAAACAGUAUAUGAGUGACCUGGAAAUGAAGAUGCAGAUUUAAUAGGGCUGGAGAGAAGUCUGAGAUUCUCAAUUUCUAAUGAAUUAAAUUACAAAGAGGAGAAAAUAA
Long non-coding RNA from Homo sapiens (human), 344 nucleotides. Ensembl annotates it as long intergenic non-protein coding RNA 240. NCBI's taxonomy places the organism in Eukaryota, Metazoa, Chordata, Mammalia, Primates, Hominidae. The record is from Ensembl.